This 511-nucleotide ribosomal RNA is filed under the name uncultured bacterium. RNAcentral describes it as "bacterial SSU rRNA". It matches the Rfam family "Bacterial small subunit ribosomal RNA", at positions 8 to 521 of the family's 1533-position model. The record is from RNAcentral.
AGAGUUUGAUCCUGGCUCAGGAUGAACGCUGGCGGCGUGCCUAACACAUGCAAGUCGAACGAAGCACCUUUUAAGAUUCUUCGGAUGAUUGAUCGGUGACUGAGUGGCGGACGGGUGAGUAACGCGUGGGUAACCUGCCCUGUACAGGGGGAUAACAGUUGGAAACGGCUGCUAAUACCGCAUAAGCGCACGAGAGGACAUCCUCUUGUGUGAAAAACUCCGGUGGUACAGGAUGGGCCCGCGUCUGAUUAGCUGGUUGGCAGGGUAACGGCCUACCAAGGCGACGAUCAGUAGCCGGUCUGAGAGGAUGAACGGCCACAUUGGAACUGAGACACGGUCCAAACUCCUACGGGAGGCAGCAGUGGGGAAUAUUGCACAAUGGGGGAAACCCUGAUGCAGCAACGCCGCGUGAGUGAAGAAGUAUUUCGGUAUGUAAAGCUCUAUCAGCAGGGAAGAUAAUGACGGUACCUGACUAAGAAGCUCCGGCUAAAUACGUGCCAGCAGCCGCGGU